UGAUUUUAUUCUGUGAACUGCCCUGAGACCGCUGGGUAUAGAACUGUACAGUGGUACCUCGGGUUACAUAAGCUUCAGCUUACAGACGCUUCAGUUACAGACUCCGCUAACUCAGAAAUAGUACCUCGGGUUAAGAACUUUGCUUCAGGAUGAGAACAGAAAUCGUGCGGUGGCGGUGCGGCAGCAGCGGGGGGCCCCAUUAGCUAAAGUGGUGCUUCAAGUUAAGAACAGUUUCAGGUUAAGAAUGGACUACCGGAACGAAUUAAGUACUUAACCCGAGGUACCACUCUAUAUAAAUUCAAUAAAUAAUAACAUCAGUUGUCUCAUUCUACAUGAUUUACUAUAUAAAUGAAAGGAAAAAUAGUAUCAAACAAUGUGAUACACAGUUGUUAGGUGGUUUAGUGACAUUUUAUACAAAUUCCAGCAAGCAAACCUUAGCCUGAGAUCAUAAGCCACUGCCAACUCCAGGCUUAGAUGGAGCAUUGGUCUGAAGACUCCUCAGAGACUCAGAGAGUGGUCUCUGGCCAACAAAAGCUUAUAAUGUAACAAGUAUGUAAAAUAGCCCUGUAUCAGUGAUUCCCAAACUUGAAAAUUGCUGAGUGUGUUGGUGGACCACUUAAAAUAGUUUUUCUGCCCAUUGCAGCAAUUGUAACGCAUUUGUGUUAGAUGCCAUAUGCAUUUUAAUUUUAUUGCUUCUAUUUUGAUAUGUUUGCUUCCUUUCACUUGUUUUCCUGGCUCCUAAUCUUCUCCACUCCUUUUAAAUCUCUCCCUCCUGCUCUUCUGUAUUCUUAAUCCUCCCCACUCCUUUUAAAUCACUUCCUCUUGCUUAAGAUCCUAAUCCUCUUCAUUUCUUUCAAGUCCCCUUCCCUUGCCAGAGGAUUGCUGGGUUCUCAGAAUGAGCAGCUGCUGCACCCACUGUUCUUCACAGCCAUGCUGUGGACCACCUGAGUGAUGCUCAUAGAACUCUUGCACUCAACUCUAUUGUUUAUGAUGUCCCCUUGGAAUACUCUGGGCCACUGUGAGAAUAUGUCUCCCAGCCCCAGCUGCCCAGGACUGAUAAGGGCCCUGCUACUCUGAUGUAAGCCUGCCAGAGUUCUCAUGAACAUGGAAAUAGGGCCAUGAGGUUUUUUUCAUUGAGGGCCUCCCUCAAAUCUAGAACCAGCUCUGCUAAGAUCAGCCAGAGUUUGCACCAGAGUCCACUUCCUCUUUUUAGCACCUCAAUGCCCAGCAGUCUCCUCGCCUGAGCUCAGAGCUGGCAUUGAGGACUCCCAGACUGCUGUUUCUGGGCAACUUCAGCAUCCAUGCCAUGGCGAUUUGCUCCCCAUUUGUGAAUGCUCUCUAUACAGAGUAUCACCUGGCACCUUCAUUACAUAUCUUUAGAUGCCAGGAACGUAUAUCUCAACUAGGUAUUUUCUCUUCAACCAUGGCUUUUUAAAUGGUUUUUUUUGGGGGGGGGGCUAUUGGUUUGUUUUUCAUGUAUUAUGUAUUUUGAAUUCUAAUUUUGUAUUUUUAUGUUGUGAACCACCCUGUGACCUUUGGAUGAAAGGCAGUAUACUGACUAAAUAAAUAAGACAAGGAGGAAGUAGAAGAUGGGGAUUGUAUCAUGUUCAAGAACAUGUACUAUUCAUAACCAGCUACCCACCCAGAUAUGUGGUUUUCAAGCUGGCUACCUCUCUUCUCACACACAUCCAUUCUUGUUCCAUAGGAAUUUCAAGUCUAUAUACAUUUGAUGUACACAAUUUGCUUACCAUAUCAUUGAUGCUAAUACAUACUAGUAACUUUUACUAACUUCACAGCUUGGGCCCUGCUUUGGGUGUUUCACGAAACCAAGUGAAGUGAGAGAUGGCAUUUUCAGCAGUGACAGCACCCUAGUUAUGGACUAGCCUUCACAGAGAGAUUAGCUUGGCACCAUCACUGUGGUCUUUUCAGAUUCAGGUGAAGAUCUUUCCGAUAGCCUAAAUUAUCUAAAAGCCCUAGGUAAUCUGGGCGUAUUACACACACACACAGCUUUUUUUCUGGGGAUACGCAGGGGUACAAUUACCCCUAAACGUUUUGUGAAUCUUUGUACUUUUGUCCAUUUAAUGUAUUUAUUUUUCCCGAUUUGAACUAUAAAAUGGUGAUUUUCUUGAGUCAAAAUGAGAGUACUAUUUCAAUUGUUUUUUGACAUUUAUUGCUAAGUUAACCAGAGAACUAUGUUGUUGGGCCACACAUAAACACAAUAAAAAUAAGUUUCUGUACUGUGAAACCGAUUCCAGUAGGAAUGCAAUUAUGAAUGGGGCAUAAUUUGAGGCUUUUAAUGGGAAAAUAAAUGAGUGAUGAGAUAGUUAAAACCCUAGGUCUUUGUUUAUAUGCAUUUUUCUGCCUAAGGCCCUCAUUUCAUAUAUGGAUAUGUGGUACGAGAAUGAAUGUAUUUUGUACAUGGGAAUAGCUUCCAGUAGACAAAGCUAAACUUAGAAAGCAACUCUAAUAUAGUACAAAUUUCCAGCUGGUUCCAAGGCAAACAAUGCAGGUAUAAGCUCUAAAUUUUACUUUAACAUAAAAUUAGAAUACAC
Molecule: non-coding RNA, 2552 nt
Organism: Podarcis lilfordi (Lilford's wall lizard)
Lineage: Eukaryota; Metazoa; Chordata; Lepidosauria; Squamata; Lacertidae
Source: the annotation of a GenBank genome assembly